UCUCCGUUGGUGAACCAGCGGAGGGAUCAUUACCGAGUGCAAACUCAUAACCCUUUGUGAACCUAUAUCUGUUGCUUCGGCGGCUCGCUCUCGGGCGGGCCCGCCGGUAAUAUCAGUAUCUCUGUUUGAACCCGACGAUACUUCUGAGUGUUCUUAGCGAACAGUUAAAACUUUUAACAACGGAUCUCUUGGCUCUAGCAUCGAUGACGAACGCAGC
This 217-nucleotide unclassified non-coding RNA is filed under the name plant metagenome. RNAcentral's name for it is "partial contains small subunit ribosomal RNA, internal transcribed spacer 1, and 5.8S ribosomal RNA". The stretch from base 169 to 217 matches the Rfam family "5.8S ribosomal RNA", at positions 1 to 49 of the family's 154-position model. The record is from RNAcentral.